AGUAUGGGAAAAAAUGUCACUUUUCCUUGAGGAAUAAUUGAACGGAAUAUUUUUCCGCAAGGAAAAGUGACAGCUCCAUUUGAUUUGCCCGGCAGGCGUUACGAGCGUUACACAAUUUUCAUUUCUUUCCAGCUGCGGACCGCUCAAGAAAUUUUAACAGCGAAAUCAUUUCUUGACCGUUCCUUGGCCUAUCUUUUUCCACAGUACUUAUCAGGUGCGUACUACCCUUUACCCUUUAAGGAAUAAAAAGUACCCUUUUUUUGCUAGUAUAUGAAACUGUCAAAAUAAAGGGUACUUGUCAAAUUUUGAAAAUGGGUAAAUUUUGCCCUUAUUACAAUUCCAACCGAGUACUCUUCAAUGAGUGAAAAUUUUGUUAAGCAUUUUCGAGGUGCAUCCAGUGCUGAUGUAAGUGAUUUUGCUGAUUUUUGCGGGAUGUCGGUGGCUCCGAGAGUGGCCUUCCUUUUGACCUCCACCUGGAUCAAAGUUGGGCCCAGGAUUCCUUCAACCAGGCGCGGGAAUAUAAGUUGUCCGUGCCCGACUGGCAAAGUCCACAUCAAUAAAUUAACAUCAAAAGGAAAAAUAACAAAAAUUAAUAAAACGUUUGCAAAAAAGUA
Molecule: long non-coding RNA, 614 nt
Organism: Aedes albopictus (Asian tiger mosquito)
Lineage: Eukaryota; Metazoa; Arthropoda; Insecta; Diptera; Culicidae
Exons: 2
Source: RefSeq, a predicted model, not a curated record